Molecule: ribosomal RNA, 253 nt
Filed under: uncultured bacterium
Lineage: Bacteria
Description: partial 16S ribosomal RNA
Rfam family: Bacterial small subunit ribosomal RNA
Source: RNAcentral
UACGUAGGGGGCAAGCGUUGUCCGGAAUCAUUGGGCGUAAAGCGCACGUAGGCGGAUUUGUAAGUCAGGGGUGAAAUCCCGGGGCUCAACCUCGGAACUGCCUUUGAUACUGCAAAUCUCGAGUCCGGAAGAGGUGAGUGGAAUUCCUAGUGUAGAGGUGAAAUUCGUAGAUAUUAGGAAGAACACCAGUGGCGAAGGCGGCUCACUGGUCCGGUACUGACGCUGAGGAGCGAAAGCCAGGGGAGCAAACGGG